RNAcentral lists this ribosomal RNA (429 nucleotides) under bacterium. RNAcentral describes it as "partial 16S ribosomal RNA". It matches the Rfam family "Bacterial small subunit ribosomal RNA", at positions 355 to 776 of the family's 1533-position model. The record is from RNAcentral.
UAGGGAAUCUUCGGCAAUGGGGGCAACCCUGACCGAGCAACGCCGCGUGAGUGAAGAAGGUUUUCGGAUCGUAAAGCUCUGUUGUAAGAGAAGAACGUGUGUGAGAGUGGAAAGUUCACACAGUGACGGUAACUUACAAGAAAGGGACGGCUAACUACGUGCCAGCAGCCGCGGUAAUACGUAGGUCCCGAGCGUUGUCCGGAUUUAUUGGGCGUAAAGCGAGCGCAGGCGGUUUAAUAAGUCUGAAGUUAAAGGCAGUGGCUUAACCAUUGUUCGCUUUGGAAACUGUUAAACUUGAGUGCGGAAGGGGGGAGUGGAAUUCCAUGUGUAGCGGUGAAAUGCGUAGAUAUAUGGAGGAACACCGGUGGCGAAAGCGGCUCUCUGGUCUGUAACUGACGCUGAGGCUCGAAAGCGUGGGGAGCAAACAGG